Molecule: unclassified non-coding RNA, 193 nt
Filed under: plant metagenome
Description: partial contains small subunit ribosomal RNA and internal transcribed spacer 1
Rfam family: Eukaryotic small subunit ribosomal RNA (bases 1-46)
Source: RNAcentral
AAGUCGUAACAAGGUUUCUGUAGGUGAACCUGCGGAAGGAUCAUUACCGAGAGUACCUGGCUUCAGCCUGGCUACUUUUACCCAUGUCUUUUUCAGUACCAAAGUUUCCUCGGUGGCUCACGCUGCCGGUCGGACUCCAUUCAAACCUUUUUGCAGUUGCAGUCAGCGUCGGAAAACAAACUUAAUAAUUAAA